Molecule: unclassified non-coding RNA, 202 nt
Organism: Cercocebus atys (sooty mangabey)
Lineage: Eukaryota; Metazoa; Chordata; Mammalia; Primates; Cercopithecidae
Source: Ensembl
CAGCAGCUGUUCCUUCCCUUUCCCCCAACAUGUAUUUCCCCAGAUGCCAUCCUACAUGUUCACACUGAAGAGAUAAGCCUCUCAGUAGGAAGAUUCGUAACCACAUAAAGUUGAAAAGAGAAACCUCUUUAAAUGCUGGUUUAUUAAGAAUGAAGGCAGAUGAGACUGGGGCCAAAGAUCUCUGCACACCUUCCUGACACUC